GCUAGUUCCCCGGCGGGUGCGGCGGGGCCGGAUCCCGGGUUUGAGUCUCCGUGUUGGUCCUUCUGAAGCGGAGUCACAAACCGGCUAGAAGGUGGUGACGAAGACGCGUGCAUGCAGUGGUCCUGCUCUUGCCGGAGCUCUUCUGCCAUGCGGGCAGCCUGUGGGAGACCAGGAGAAGAGCACGAGCUGGAGCUGGGUCUGCAUCUAGGCUCAUAGUGCCUUUGAGAGCACUUAAUACAGAGCCUGGACAGAGCAGGUCUCCAAUAAACACAUGUUGAAUGCAUGGAUCCAGCUAUACAUGCUUUAAAGACCAACCUGAUGAUGAAGAGUGAUAAAGGAGGACUUCACCUCUAUUUGUGUUUAUUUCUUAAGGUCACUACCUUGAGUUGCUGUUGUAGCCUUUUCAGUGUCUUCACAAGUUCGCUGUUGUUCUUGUUGGCAUGGUCCAGCUGGAUUUCCAUUUCAUUCAGGUCAGUCUCCAUCUUCUUCUUCAGGCGAAGUGCCUCUGCCCGGCCCUUGGCUUCUGCAUCCAGGCUGGUCUGCAAAGACUCAAUGGCCCGCUGGUGGUUCUUCCUACAAGUCCAAGCAGAGAAGGCCUGACAUACUGGACAAGCACAUUCAGUCUAUGCUAAACCUAGAUAAGAGACUUCUGAGCAUCAGCAUGAGUAUAGCAUGUUGGAAGGUGAAAGUUUAUCACAUAUCUUUUGUGAUAUCGAUUCAUUUAACGUAAAAACAGUCCUGCAAGAAAACUGAAGCUCCAGGAUGAUGGAAGACAUGCCAGAGGUCAUCCAUUUAGCCCACAGCAGGCAAGAUUGGAGUUCCCAGGUUCCCCGAGGAUGGUACCUGAGCAGAUGUGGCUCCCCCAGCCUCUUCCAGCCUGUCGCUGAGGUCUUCGAGGUCCCGGGACAGGUCACUGCGUUGUUUCUCCACCUGGGCUUGCAGAUCAUCGAGGGUUUUCUGGAAGGAAAGAUACACACGUGUUUCCCACAAUGUACGCAGGAGCAGCUGGUCAGACCAGGUUUUCUGCCAUCACUUCUGAGCUGAGUUGAGUUGACUGCAGUGAACAGCUACUGAGUGCCUGCGCCUGGGUGCUAGGUGAGGCUGGGGCAGACCUGAGCACCCGUCAGCAGCAGGACGAAGCCUCUCAAUUAGCCAGAUCCCAGAAGCCUGAAACACCCAGAAUGCAAACCCUUCCUGGAGGGAGAUCCCUCGCCCAUCGCCUUUGAUAGUUCAUCUGAAUGUCUCAAGAGGCUGCAGCUGCAGAGCCUGAAGAUCAGCCCUCAUUUUGCAAGAAAUAAUCAAUGGUACAAAUGCCUCAGAUCCAGACCCAUGUUCCAGGCCAUCCAGGAAGCCAGCACCAAGACAGCGAGGCGCUCUGAGACACCUGCUGGGCCUGUCCUACCUCACCAAUGGCUGCAACGAAGUCAGAAGCCAAGUGCUUGACAUGGGGAUCCUGCCCAGGCCAGUUGAGCACUUGGAAUGUGCCCCAGGUCCUGUCUGUCUCUGUAUGGGCCUUCAGUUUGUUCCCUAAGACUACUGCAGAUAUAGGUGAAAAAUCACCAGACAGAGGUCACCACUGAUGCAGGCAUGGUGUUCCAGCUCCUGAUAUACCCCAAGUCGUCCAUCCACAAGACAGCCUGGGCCCUGGCUUGUGCAAGCAGACCCAGGGAAAAUACCCCAAACUGAAAAUCUACCUCCCUAGACUGAAGAAAGAGGCUGGCCGCUGCAGGCUGUGUGUUUCCAUGGGUCCCACCAGAGAUCGAGCAGUUCUUCCCAUGCAGGAGCAUGAAGUACCUGACCCAUCCCAGUGGAAAGUCCCUUUACAGAUUGCAGUAAGUGUCUCCGUUCCAGGGACAAUAGGAUUUGGUGCCUUGAUAGCUUGUUGGCCCUGGCAAACAUUGGAUCUACUGCUAUGUCCUUUGUUUUCUACACCUUUUCCCUACUGGGUGACUCAGGCUGAGUUCCCAGCCUGACGUGUGGAGAAGUGUGCCCACAGGGUGGUUAUUAAAUGUAUUAGUGGUUGGGAAAGCACGUCUGUCCACCUGGCCCAAAUAGGUUUUUCAGUUCAUAACUUUGCUGUUUGAGGACACCAUUUUUCCGUCGGACCAACCCAGUUGCCUGUGGGUUAUACAGGAGAUGGAAUCUCCAUUCAGUAACUCUAUUGACCAGGUCACUAUAUUUUAAAGGCAGCCCUGCCUCUAUAGCUAUCCACCAUCCUAUUUGGGUACUAUGAUGUCCACUCUUCCGGUGUACCCAAUCUACAGGGUCAACUGACAGGUCAGUUGCUAAUGCAUGUAUUUUUGCCAAGUCAUCUGCCUCCUGGAGGUAGAGACACCUUCUGGACAAGGACAUGGAAAACAAGGUCUGCCUCAGACUCUUGCAAGUG
This is a long non-coding RNA of Myotis myotis, 2386 nucleotides long. RefSeq lists it as uncharacterized. Lineage: Eukaryota; Metazoa; Chordata; Mammalia; Chiroptera; Vespertilionidae. The transcript has 12 exons. The record is from RefSeq and is a predicted model, not a curated record.